RNAcentral lists this ribosomal RNA (253 nucleotides) under uncultured bacterium. Its description in RNAcentral is "partial 16S ribosomal RNA". It matches the Rfam family "Bacterial small subunit ribosomal RNA", at positions 524 to 776 of the family's 1533-position model. The record is from RNAcentral.
UACGGGGGGGGCAAGCGUUGUUCGGAAUUACUGGGCGUAAAGCGCACGUAGGCGGAUUUGUAAGUCAGGGGUGAAAUCCCGGGGCUCAACCUCGGAACUGCCUUUGAUACUGCAAAUCUCGAGUCCGAUAGAGGUGGGUGGAAUUCCUAGUGUAGAGGUGAAAUUCGUAGAUAUUAGGAAGAACACCGGUGGCGAAGGCGGCCCACUGGAUCGGUACUGACGCUGAGGUGCGAAAGCGUGGGGAGCAAACAGG